AUUGAACGCUGGCGGCAUGCCUAGCACAUGCAAGUCGAACGGUAGCGGGACCUAGCUUGCUAGGUUGCCGACGAGUGGCGAACGGGUGAGUAACGCGUAGGAAUAUACCUUAGAGAGGGGGACAACCUGGGGAAACUCAGGCUAAUACCGCAUAAUGUCUAUGGACAAAAGCUGGGGACCUUCGGGCCUGGCGCUUUAAGAAUAGCCUGCGUACGAUUAGCUAGUUGGUGGGGUAAGGGCCUACCAAGGCGACGAUCGUUAGCUGGUCUGAGAGGAUGGACAGCCACACUGGGACUGAGACACGGCCCAGACUCCUACGGGAGGCAGCAGUGGGGAAUAUUGGACAAUGGGGGCAACCCUGAUCCAGCAAUGCCGCGUGUGAAGAAGGCCUGAGGGUUGUAAAGCACUUUCGGUCAGGAGGAGGGUUUAUUGGUUAAGAGCUGAUGAGCUGGACGUUACUGACAUAAGAAGCACCGGCUAACUCCGUGCCAGCCGCCGCCGUAA
This 504-nucleotide ribosomal RNA is filed under the name uncultured bacterium. Its description in RNAcentral is "partial 16S ribosomal RNA". It matches the Rfam family "Bacterial small subunit ribosomal RNA", at positions 30 to 523 of the family's 1533-position model. The record is from RNAcentral.